CAUAAUCUGAAUAAGAUCACUACAUUCAAUAAACUGUACAACCUUUAUUUCUGUAAUUUCCUCAAAGAAGGCAAAGGGACAACCACAUAAAACCCUUGCACGAAAUGUGGAGUCAAAACCUCACCCACAAAGAAUGGUGAGAAUGUGCAGAUUGAUGAAAGACAAGCUGCAAUAAUUUUCAAGUACAAAGUUAGAAAAUGAACAAUGGUUCUGAAUGGAGAUCAAUUGACAGUAAAGCUUCUGUCAAGAGAUGAGCUCAAGAGGGAGAUCUUUCUUCGCCCUCCAAAGAAGGCAACAAAUACAGUGGGG
This is a long non-coding RNA of Rhincodon typus (whale shark), 309 nucleotides long. RefSeq lists it as uncharacterized. The transcript has 3 exons. The record is from RefSeq and is a predicted model, not a curated record. NCBI's taxonomy places the organism in Eukaryota, Metazoa, Chordata, Chondrichthyes, Orectolobiformes, Rhincodontidae.